This 1436-nucleotide long non-coding RNA is filed under the name Equus asinus (donkey). Its description in RNAcentral is "lncRNA (ENSEASG00005030522.1)". Lineage: Eukaryota; Metazoa; Chordata; Mammalia; Perissodactyla; Equidae. The record is from RNAcentral.
GGGAGAGUCGAGUUGGGGUGCUUGGGGGUUACGAAGUGGGGAUGUCUAGGGGAUGCCGCAUUUACACACUGGGAGCUCAGGGCAGAGCUCAGCUUGGAGAAGGUAACUGGGAGUGAGUGAGUUUGUCCAGGGGCCAUGAGGAGCGUGGGCAGGAGGCCCAGGCACCCACUAUCCCAGGGCAGGAGGAGGAGGAGCUGCUGGGGAGGUAGAAGGAAAAUAGGAAGGUGAGGUCUCCCUGAAGCUGAGGGAGGGGAGAGCUUGAAGGAGGAGGGUGUGGCCUGCCCCAGUCAGAUGUCACAGAGGCUGAGGAGAAGCCACCAGAUCUGGCCAUCAGGGGCUGUCAAUGCCCUGGGUAGGAACAUUUUCCUGGCAGGGUGGGAACUGAACCUUGGGAAGCUCCGUGGUGAAGGGCUUUUCUCAAAGUUCCCAUAGUGAAUUACGGGCCCUCCAAUGUCCCCCCAACAGGUCCCAUCCAUCGUGCCCGCCCCUGAGGUCCUUCUCAUCACAUUUUUCCAUGUUUUUUCACGGUAAACUCCAGGAGAAGCCACCAGGAACCACGCUAAGCCUAUUAUCUCAUUUGAACUUUGUUUCAGUCUCAAGAAGUCAGUAUCAUUUUCAUUCCCACUUUGCAGACAAGCAAACUGAGGCCCUGAGGUCAGGAACUUAAUUGGCCAGUACUGGGGGCAGGCCAUUCCUAACUUGUGGGUGGCAAUGGGGAAAAACAAACCCACAUCGUCUGAACUUACAACACCUGAACUCUGGUUCUCACACCGUGGCCUGCACACAAAUCACCAGAGGCUGGCAUGAAUUUGCAGACUCUUAGGCCCAAACUGCAGAUUCUGAUUCAGCAGGUGCGAAGCAGCGUCUGGGGACACGUUCUGUUCACCAGCACGCCAAGUGAUUCCCACGCAGGUGCUGGAGGGCCACCCUGAGACGACAUGAACCCAAUGGUGCACACGUGGUGGACCUGCAGGCAGUGGAAUAGUCCUGGACCCCUAAGCCACUGGUUUCUGGCGAUCAGUUAGGGCUCUGGCUGCAGCUGGGAGCUGAGCCCGGGCUGGGGGAGGCAGAGGGCGGUAAUAAAGAAACAACAGGAAGCUCAGCUUUUAUUAGCCCUGGGUAGUCGCAGCUGCAGCCUCUGUGCAGGGAGCCGGGAGCAGAGAUGACCAAGAUCCAGUCUCUGACCUCAAGGAGCUCAUGGGCUAGUCGGGGAGACAGACCCCCAAACAGACAACCGCGGUAUUUGCUAAAAGCCGUAAUGGAGGCAUGUGCAUCCUGUGUCGAAGCAGAAGAGAACCCGUCCAGCUCUGGGAGGGGCUGGGGAGGCUGCACGUGGAAGGGCUUUUGAGCAGCAUCUUUAAAAAAAUGUUAAUAAUGUAUUUUAUUGAACCCAAUAUUUCAAAAUAUGAUCAACAUGUAAUAUUAUCAAUUAAAAU